RNAcentral lists this long non-coding RNA (723 nucleotides) under Musa acuminata (dwarf banana). RNAcentral's name for it is "long non-coding RNA (MACU_LNC002784)". Lineage: Eukaryota; Viridiplantae; Streptophyta; Magnoliopsida; Zingiberales; Musaceae. The record is from RNAcentral.
AAUGACGGGGUUGUUAAUAUUUUCAUAUCAUCUGGGGUUGGCAAUGCUGUACCAGCUGGCCACCUCUGCGUUGAUAACUGAAGAGAGUUGGCUCAAAUAUUAUAUUGUUCUUCAAGAUUUAGGCUUUUCUUUCAAAAUUUCCUAACAACCUAUCUAGAGAACUCUUUCUUCUCCUGAUAACUGAAGAGAGUUGGCUCAAAUAUUAUAUUGUUCUUCAAGAUUUAGGCUUUUCUUUCAAAAUUUCCUAACAACCUAUCUAGAGAACUCUUUCUUCUCCUUUUAAAGCAAUGUAAUGAGAGCAAACUUUAUAACAGGUCAAAACUCUAUAAUCAAGUCGAAAGCAUAAGAAUCCUACUGUAGUAUAAUUUUGAUGAGUGAACAUGCAUUCAUGAUUCAACAUCUAAUAAAAUUUAAAAAACAUCCAAUAAAGCCUCUCUCCUGCUUGCACUUGUAAUAUUCUGUUAUGUAACACUUUAUGGAUGUCAUGGUGGGCAUUUUGAUGUUAUCUUCUCAGAAGGCUGUUAAUAUUUUCAUUAAAAGCUGUUUUCUCUCUGAGAUUGGAAUUCUAAUAUUUUCCACUGAGAAAUUAACUCGAUUCUUUUCUGAUGAAUUAGAAUUUUGAUACUUGUUAUCUGCCUUGUGCACUACACAAAUACAUUGAUAUUAUCUAUGUUCAACCAUGGUCUUUUUCUAUCCUGCUCCUUGUUAGGUCCUCGUCGCCAC